This is a long non-coding RNA of Malaclemys terrapin pileata, 2222 nucleotides long. RefSeq lists it as uncharacterized. Lineage: Eukaryota; Metazoa; Chordata; Testudines; Emydidae. The transcript is spliced from 3 exons. The record is from RefSeq and is a predicted model, not a curated record.
UAACGCUCCCCAACUCCCUCGGCGGAGAGCGUCAGGGUGUCCCGCCCGCGCCCGAGGCUUGGAAGAGAGACACAUUCCCUGCGCGAUUAGAGAGAACUUGGGCUUUGAAUGAUCUGUCCAGGACCUAGACUCCUCUGCGCUGGUCCCACCAAACCUCCAACCCAGGAUCCAGUGCAGGGAGCUGUGCGGGGCUGGGGGACAGGCACCCAGAGGGUAGUGCCACUGCAGCAGUGUAGCACAGCAUGCGGACGGACAGACCCCGCACCAGAGAAGCAUGUGAACACGCUGCAUAUUCUUCGCGUAAGACAAGCAACUGGCUCAAAGAGCAACGAGCAAAGCUAUGUGUUUUGGGGGACAGAAGCGGAAGCUACCACAGGGGGAUGUUAUGGGCUUGUCUACCAGUGUCGAUCUCGCCCUGCUCUGGGAAUGCUCUGGAAACAUGAGCAAACGACCUGCACGAGGGCACUCAUGCCGAUGCUGCUGAGGUGCAGGAAAGCCAAGUGGGUAAAUUAAUGGCUCUAGCAAGGAAAUUGCAGACUGAAGGCAAAUCUAGGGGCUUUGUUAUGGGCUCCAGAGGUCAGAGCAGCUGUGGGGAAAUAGUUAGUUAUAAAAUCCAUAUGCUUGUGAAUGGAACACCAGGGUGUGGGAAGAGGGAGGGACAAUCUGUUCCUGGUGGCGGGACAGACCGUGCUAGCAAGGGCCAGGAAAUGACCAGGGUGCACUGAGUGGGACUGAACAUCAGAGCCACACAUUCAAGGCCAUUCACACCCUUCCCUCACUGCGAGACCCACAGACUGUGCCCUGGAAGCUUUGAUUAUUCAGCCUUAUUUGGGCUGCAGGCCCCAGCCACGGCCAGGACUGCGCUGGGCACUGCACCGGUACAUGGGGAAGCCUUGGGGAUCCAUUGUGGAAGGGGCAGGGAAGGCAGAUUCCUCUGGGUAAAGCAGGGGAAUGGCCCGACCUCUCCGUCCCUGUUUGGUUUUAUGGACAGGAAGGCAAAGCCCAAAACACAGCACCUCCCUUCCCCCCACAAAAGAGGGAGAGGGGAGCGUGACUGUCCUGGGAGAGCAGGUGCUGGCAGCUAAUAAAUAAUGACAGACGCCACAGCAGGCAGAUGAGGGCGCAGGAGGCCUGGCAGGAUCAGGCCCUCGGAGGCCGAGGGGGAGUGCCAGAGACAGAGGCAGGGCGGAGGGAGCUCCUUUCCCCACUUGCUCUGAGUCAGUGCCUCCACCACAAACCAGAUGUGGUUCGUUUCGCCCUUUGACAGUGACCUUUAAAGAGCUGACUCCAUGGCCGCGCCGUCCUGCCCACAGACUGACACAGCCGCCCGUGGCUCGCCAGGCGCUCACUGAGCGAAGAAAAGGAGCCACGCGGAGCAGUGGCCGUAGCCUGUCGGGGCGGGGGGGGGAACGCAGCCCCAGCGUGCAGCAUGAUUUAAACUGGGGACUGUCUGAGCCGCUUUGCACAGAGUGUGUCCUGCCCACUGGGGACCAGCCACAACCAUCCCUAGAAACCACUUUCUAGGCUGUGGGGUCCUGCCACCCCACCAAGUCCAGCGCCGGAGGGGACCUCCUUAUUGUAUGUGCUAGGCGCUGCACAAACAGAAUACACCGCUCGAUGGAACCGUGUGGGGAAGAAGUCUGUGACACACCUGGGUCCCCACGGCACAAUCGACUCUGUAGGGCAGACAGGACUGUCCCCCCUGGGUAGGAAACCACAUGUACCAGCCUCCCCUCCUGCCCGGUGUCUGCCUUGCUGGCUCCGCCUGUCUCUCCCUCUGGGCCUGUGCGGACAGAACGGGGACCGUGAGUAAGCGGGUCAGCGAUAGCCCCACUGUAACGACAGCCCCUGAAAGUGCUCGGGUGACUGAACCCUGGGCCGGUGGGGCCGAACUGCCUGUGGCAAGGAGACUGGUUCCCCUUUGCGCUUGGCUCAAGUUCAGCGCUCCUUGGUGCGGCCGGUUUGAUUGCCCGGUGGACCCUCAUCGUCCUGUCCUCAUUGAACCGCAGAUAGCUCUUGAGUUAAUCUAAUUACUUGAUUUCCCAGCCAGGGGCUUACUCCAUAAAGCCCUUGGAUAAUGAGAGUAUCUGGCUCCAAAUCUACGGUGUAAAAAACCCCAGAAGAAAGCCCCAACCAAGCCCACAGCAGAUCUUUGCAUAUUACUUUCUGCAUCCUUUUAAAGUGACCUGGGGGAAAAAUAAAGAAGCUAGAAAUGCAAAGAA